GAUGAACGCUGGCGGCGUGCCUAGUACAUGCAAGUCGAGCGAACAGACGAGGAGCUUGCUCCUCUGACGUUAGCGGCGGACGGGUGAGUAACACGUGGAUAACCUACCUAUAAGACUGGGAUAACUUCGGGAAACCGGAGCUAAUACCGGAUAAUAUAUUGAACCGCAUGGUUCAAUAGUUAAAGACGGUUUUGCUGUCACUUAUAGAUGGAUCCGCGCCGCAUUAGCUAGUUGGUAAGGUAACGGCUUACCAAGGCAACGAUGCGUAGCCGACCUGAGAGGGUGAUCGGCCACACUGGAACUGAGACACGGUCCAGACUCCUACGGGAGGCAGCAGUAGGGAAUCUUCCGCAAUGGGCGAAAGCCUGACGGAGCAACGCCGCGUGAGUGAUGAAGGUCUUCGGAUCGUAAAACUCUGUUAUUAGGGAAGAACAAAUGUGUAAGUAACUAUGCACGUCUUGACGGUACCUAAUCAGAAAGCCACGGCUAACUACGUG
RNAcentral lists this ribosomal RNA (497 nucleotides) under uncultured bacterium. RNAcentral's name for it is "partial 16S ribosomal RNA". It matches the Rfam family "Bacterial small subunit ribosomal RNA", at positions 28 to 507 of the family's 1533-position model. The record is from RNAcentral.